AAUAAGCUAAUUUUUCAUUUUUUACCUAUAAUCUUUUGACUCUUUGUUUUAUUCAAAUUUUUUUUAGAUUGAUAUUUUUGUUUUUAUUAGAUGAUAAAUCAUGAAUAGUACUUUACGUGUGACUAAUUUUUUUUCUAAUUUCCUAAAAAUUUUCAAAUAAGACGGAUGGUCAAACACUAGACACAGUAACCGAAG
This 195-nucleotide microRNA precursor is filed under the name Oryza brachyantha (malo sina). Its description in RNAcentral is "MIR812 microRNA precursor family". It matches the Rfam family "MIR812 microRNA precursor family". Lineage: Eukaryota; Viridiplantae; Streptophyta; Magnoliopsida; Poales; Poaceae. The record is from Rfam by way of RNAcentral.